This 230-nucleotide ribosomal RNA is filed under the name uncultured bacterium. Its description in RNAcentral is "partial 16S ribosomal RNA". It matches the Rfam family "Bacterial small subunit ribosomal RNA", at positions 568 to 796 of the family's 1533-position model. The record is from RNAcentral.
CGGGCAGGUGGUUCGUUAAGUCGUCUGUGAAAACCCGGGGCUCAACCCCGUGGAAUGCAGGCGAUACUGGCGAGCUAGAGAUCGGUAGAGGCUAGCGGAAUUCCUGGUGUAGCGGUGGAAUGCGUAGAUAUCAGGAAGAACACCAGUGGCGAAGGCGGCUAGCUGGGCCGAGUCUGACACUCAUCCGCGAAAGCGUGGGGAGCAAACAGGAUUAGAUACCCUGGUAGUCC